CUUAUCGGUUUGUUUGAUGUUACAGCCAAGGGUCUGUAGCUCAGGUGGUUAGAGCACCGUCUUGAUAAGGCGGGGGUCGUAGGUUCGAGUCCUACCAGACCCACCAAGUUACGGGCGGCGGAGAGCGAUCUUGCCGUGAACUGGGGGAUUAGCUCAGCUGGGAGAGCACCUGCUUUGCAAGCAGGGGGUCGUCGGUUCGAUCCCGUCAUCCUCCACCAACACCUUGUGGUAGCCAAACGCAAGCAUCGAGAGAUCGGUGUUUGCGUUUGGCAUUGCCAAGACGAGUAGUAACUCGGCUGUUCUUUAACAAUAUGGAAUGUAGUAAAGGUGUCGCGGCGCGUUGAUGAGGCGCGCAAUUUAAACGCGACACUGGGUUGUGAUUGUAUCAACCAGUAUUACGAGUGAUCGAAAGACCGCUUGGAAUACGGCACAACGCGAGAACUCAGCCUAUAGCGAGACAUACUCGUUAUAGGGUCAAGCGAAUAAGUGCAUGUGGUGGAUGCCUUGGCGAUCACAGGCGAUGAAGGACGUAGUAGCUUGCGAAAAGCUGCGGGGAGCUGGCAAACGAGCUUUGAUCCGCAGAUGUCCGAAUGGGGAAACCCGGCCCGUAUGGGUCAUCCCUUGCUGAAUACAUAGGCAAGGGAGGCGAACGCAGUGAACUGAAACAUCUAAGUAGCUGCAGGAAAAGAAAUCAACCGAGAUUCCCAGAGUAGUGGCGAGCGAAAUGGGAACAGCCUUGUACUCUUUAGCAGUAUUGUUAGCGGAACGGAAUGGAAAGUCCGGCCAUAGUGGGUGAUAGCCCCGUACGCGAAAACAGUAUUGUGGAACUAGGUGUACGACAAGUAGGGCGGGACACGUGAAAUCCUGUCUGAAGAUGGGGGGACCAUCCUCCAAGGCUAAAUACUCGUGAUCGACCGAUAGUGAACCAGUACCGUGAGGGAAAGGCGAAAAGAACCCCGGGAGGGGAGUGAAAUAGAUCCUGAAACCGCAUGCAUACAAACAGUCGGAGCCUGGAAACGGGUGACGGCGUACCUUUUGUAUAAUGGGUCAGCGACUUACAUUCAGUGGCAAGCUUAACCGAUUAGGGAAGGCGUAGCGAAAGCGAGUCCGAAUAGGGCGUUCAGUCGCUGGGUGUAGACCCGAAACCAAGUGAUCUAUCCAUGGCCAGGUUGAAGGUGCGGUAACACGUACUGGAGGACCGAACCCACUAACGUUGAAAAGUUAGGGGAUGAGCUGUGGAUAGGGGUGAAAGGCUAAACAAACUUGGAAAUAGCUGGUUCUCUCCGAAAACUAUUUAGGUAGUGCCUCGUGUCUCACCUUCGGGGGUAGAGCACUGUCAUGGUUGGGGGGUCUAUUGCUGAUUACCCCGCCAUAGCAAACUCCGAAUACCGAAGAGUGCAAUCACGGGAGACAGACAUCGGGUGCUAACGUCCGGUGUCAAGAGGGAAACAACCCAGACCGCCAGCUAAGGUCCCUAAGAUUGGCUAA
Molecule: small RNA, 1488 nt
Filed under: Ralstonia solanacearum
Lineage: Bacteria; Pseudomonadati; Pseudomonadota; Betaproteobacteria; Burkholderiales; Burkholderiaceae
Description: bacterial LSU rRNA
Rfam family: Bacterial large subunit ribosomal RNA (bases 473-1488)
Source: RNAcentral